RNAcentral lists this ribosomal RNA (440 nucleotides) under uncultured bacterium. RNAcentral describes it as "partial 16S ribosomal RNA". It matches the Rfam family "Bacterial small subunit ribosomal RNA", at positions 338 to 795 of the family's 1533-position model. The record is from RNAcentral.
CCUACGGGAGGCAGCAGUGGGGAAUAUUGGACAAUGGGGGAAACCCUGAUCCAGCGACGCCGCGUGAGUGAAGAAGUAUUUCGGUACGUAAAGCUCUAUCAGCAGGAAAGAAAAUGACGGUACCUGCCUAAGAAGCCCCGGCUAACUACGUGCCAGCAGCCGCGGUAAUACGUAGGGGGCAAGCGUUAUCCGGAUUUACUGGGUGGAAAGGGAGCGUAGACGGCAGCGCAAGUCUGGAGUGAAAUGCCGGGGCCCAACCCCGGAACUGCUCUGGAAACUGUGAAGCUGGAGUGCAGGAGAGGUAAGCGGAAUUCCUGGUGUAGCGGUGAAAUGCGUAGAUAGCAGGAGGAACACCGGCGGCGAAGGCGGCUUACUGGACUGUAACUGACGUUGAGGCUCGAAGGCGUGGGGAGCAAACAGGAUUAGAUACCCGGGUAGUC